CUUCUUUUCCCUCUUCUUCUUCUUUCGUGGGAGGCUGUGGGAUAAAACCGAAAUUUUCAAUUUUCUUUAUUUUUUUUUCUUUUUGCAACUUAACAGUUUAGUCCUUGAAAUUUCUAUAUUUACAUAUAGGUCCUCCAAUUUACAUAUAAAUCCUUAUUAAAAAUUUUUAAAAGUGAGGGAUAUUAUAAUUAAUGACCCGAUUAAUUCUUCAAG
This 213-nucleotide long non-coding RNA is filed under the name Musa acuminata (dwarf banana). Its description in RNAcentral is "long non-coding RNA (MACU_LNC007020)". The record is from RNAcentral. Lineage: Eukaryota; Viridiplantae; Streptophyta; Magnoliopsida; Zingiberales; Musaceae.